GACGAACGCUGGCGGCGUGCUUAACACAUGCAAGUCGAACGAUGAAGCUGGAGCUUGCUCCGGUGGAUUAGUGGCGAACGGGUGAGUAACACGUGAGCAAUCUGCCCUUGACUCUGGGAUAACUGCGGGAAACUGUAGCUAAUACCGGAUAUGAGGCUCGAAGGCAUCUUCGGGUCUGGAAAGAAUUUCGGUCAAGGAUGAGCUCGCGGCCUAUCAGCUUGUUGGUGAGGUCAUGGCUCGCCAAGGUGACGACGGGUAGCCGGCCUGAGAGGGUGACCGGCCACACUGGGACUGAGACACGGCCCAGACUCCUACGGGAGGCAGCAGUGGGGAAUAUUGCACAAUGGCGAAAGCCUGAUGCAGCAACGCCGCGUGAGGGAUGAAGGCCUUCGGGUUGUAAACCUCUUUUAGCAGGGAAGAAGCGAAAGUGACGGUACCUGCAGAAAAAGCACCGGCUAACUACGUGCCAGCCGCCGCGGUAA
RNAcentral lists this ribosomal RNA (482 nucleotides) under uncultured bacterium. RNAcentral's name for it is "partial 16S ribosomal RNA". It matches the Rfam family "Bacterial small subunit ribosomal RNA", at positions 28 to 523 of the family's 1533-position model. The record is from RNAcentral.